RNAcentral lists this long non-coding RNA (235 nucleotides) under Lathyrus oleraceus (garden pea). Its description in RNAcentral is "Pisum sativum (pea) long non-coding RNA (PSAT_LNC038848)". The record is from RNAcentral. Lineage: Eukaryota; Viridiplantae; Streptophyta; Magnoliopsida; Fabales; Fabaceae.
UUGCAUCGGGUUGCACCUUAAAGAUCAUGUCCUUCAGCCUCUCAAUCUCAACUUGCAGCUCCAUCUUGUUUCUAAACUUCUGAAUAUUGCAGGUAAUUGGAACUGGUAUUUACUUCACAGCCUCCCCCUUCUGGUUCAGAUUCGUUGCCUGAUUCUUGCCUUUAGAGUGGCUCCAAGAUAGGGAGUUUCUCCAUAUCCAGUAUGUAUGGCAUUUUUAAUCAACUUUCGAAUGUUG